Molecule: ribosomal RNA, 253 nt
Filed under: uncultured bacterium
Lineage: Bacteria
Description: partial 16S ribosomal RNA
Rfam family: Bacterial small subunit ribosomal RNA
Source: RNAcentral
UACGUAUGUCGCAAGCGUUAUUCGGAAUCACUGGGCGUAAAGAGUUCGUAGGCGGAUUCGUAAGUCAGAAGUGAAAUUUUGGGGCUCAACCCCGAAACUGCUUUUGAAACUGCGUGUCUUGAGUAUGUGAGAGGAAGAUGGAAUUCCUGGUGUAGCGGUGGAAUGCGUAGAUAUCAGGAAGAACACCGAUGGCGAAGGCAGUCUUCUGGCACAAUACUGACGCUGAGGAACGAAAGCGUGGGGAGCGAACAGG